This is a long non-coding RNA of Spodoptera frugiperda (fall armyworm), 1315 nucleotides long. RefSeq lists it as uncharacterized. The transcript has 3 exons. The record is from RefSeq and is a predicted model, not a curated record. Lineage: Eukaryota; Metazoa; Arthropoda; Insecta; Lepidoptera; Noctuidae.
CUCAUUAAAUUAGUCCUAACGAAUACACAACUAAUUUUCAUUAAAUCCGUUAAUGAACGAUUCAUCUCAGAGACAUUUUUUAAGGGUUCGUUAGUUAAUGUCAUCUUUAAGUAUUCGUAGGGUGGGGUAUCGCCAAAUCAUUGUAUAGAUUGCAUAUCGAUAAACGUUUGGUGUGGCUACACAUGAAAAAAUGUUAAUAUCAAAUGAUUAAAAACGUUUAUUUAAACACAUUGAAUGCAUAUAAAACAGUAAUACAAGGUAAAUUUCGUACAUUUAUCGAUAGUUUUUAAUAAAAUACAAACCAAAACGGCUAUUUUCGAUCAAAGAAGAUAAAGCAAUCGGACUCUUUUUUUCCUGGUAACUGGAAUCUCUUUGGCAUUUGUCAGUAUCAAAGUCUGUCAUGUUUUAUUAUGACAGUAGUUUGUGUUGUUUACAUUAAAAUUAAUAAAUUAUUUCCUUUGGUUCUUGCGCUUAAACCAAUAAUAAUAAACCUAUGUGCUAUCCGUUAUCACACCCUGGAGUGUCUGCAUAUAAAAUCACGCGACAGAGUGGUCAAUUUCUCCGCCGAUGAAAAGCUUUACUGGCACAACAGUGAUUAAGAAGAGACUAAUGUUGUAAAAUCCAAAAUAAAAGAUGGCAAGUCGGUCCCCAAGAAACAAGCGGCAUGGGAGUUUAAUUGUAAUGCUAAUAUACACAUGCUUGAUGAUAAGAAAGCAGUCACACUUAUAGCUCGGGCUACACAAAGAGGAAAACAAAUUUUAUCUACAAAAAGGUUCACACAGUGUUGCAUAUGCACAGGACCCUAUCAUACAUCACUUGCUCCCAGGGAAAGAGACAGCUUCAUAGGGUGUGCCCAGUGCAGCGCUGUAAAACGGCACUGGCUAAACAACAAACACUUCUAUGGGAUUGGUAGCCAAAUUUAUAAUAAGAUCAACAAAAUCUGUUUCAUACAUUCUACUAUCAUCCGUGAGUGUAAGGAAAGGGUUGUCAGCUGAAUAAAAACUCAGAGUUACGAGGACACUGAAGUGCUAUUAAUGACUUGACUAAUUUCAGCACACAUAAAAUAGGCAAGCUCGGUCUUCUUAAACAAAAUUGUUACAUUAAUUGCUCAAUUUUGUAGAUGAUAUUGAAUUUGACUAUGUACUUUCUGAAUAAAAUUUACUAUAGUGUAUAAUGUAAUCUUUCGCUUGGGUACCAGAGUUCAUACAAAUGUUUGUAUUUGUGACUUUACGUUUUGGAGUUAUUAGAAUGUUUCAGAAGUUAUAUUUUUGUAGAUCUCCAUGUAUUAAUUUGAGUGCUCUGUAAUUCAAUAAAC